UCUCCGUUGGUGAACCAGCGGAGGGAUCAUUACAGGACUCGCAAGACUCCUACAACCCUGUGAACUUAACUAUAAGCACGUUGCUUCGGCGGGUGUCUCGGAGGGGGUUCUCCCUCCCCGAGACGCUAAACCCGCCGGCAGCCUACUAUACACUGUCUCUUUGCGUUGGCAUCUCGAGUACAAUCAAACAAGUUAAAACUUUCAACAACGGAUCUCUUGGUUCUG
RNAcentral lists this unclassified non-coding RNA (225 nucleotides) under plant metagenome. Its description in RNAcentral is "partial contains small subunit ribosomal RNA, internal transcribed spacer 1, and 5.8S ribosomal RNA". The record is from RNAcentral.